AGAGUUUGACAUGGCUCAGAACGAACGCUGGCGGCAUGCCUAACACAUGCAAGUCGAACGAGACCUUCGGGUCUAGUGGCGCACGGGUGCGUAACGCGUGGGAAUCUGCCCUUUGCUUCGGAAUAACAGUUAGAAAUGACUGCUAAUACCGGAUGAUGUCUUCGGACCAAAGAUUUAUCGGCAAAGGAUGAGCCCGCGUAGGAUUAGGUAGUUGGUGGGGUAAAGGCCUACCAAGCCGACGAUCCUUAGCUGGUCUGAGAGGAUGAUCAGCCACACUGGGACUGAGACACGGCCCAGACUCCUACGGGAGGCAGCAGUGGGGAAUAUUGGACAAUGGGCGCAAGCCUGAUCCAGCAAUGCCGCGUGAGUGAUGAAGGCCUUCGGGUCGUAAAGCUCUUUACCAGGGAUGAUAAUGACAGUACCUGGAGAAUAAGCUCCGGCUAACUCCGUG
Molecule: ribosomal RNA, 451 nt
Filed under: uncultured bacterium
Lineage: Bacteria
Description: bacterial SSU rRNA
Rfam family: Bacterial small subunit ribosomal RNA
Source: RNAcentral